GAUGAACGCUGGCGGCGUGCCUAAUACAUGCAAGUCGAGCGAACAGACGAGGAGCUUGCUCCUCUGAUGUUAGCGGCGGACGGGUGAGUAACACGUGGAUAACCUACCUAUAAGACUGGGAUAACUUCGGGAAACCGGAGCUAAUACCGGAUAAUAUUUUUAACCGCAUGGUUCAAUAGUGAAAGACGGUCUUGCUGUCACUUAUAGAUGGAUCCGCGCCGCAUUAGCUAGUUGGUAAGGUAACGGCUUACCAAGGCAACGAUGCGUAGCCGACCUGAGAGGGCGAUCGGCCACACUGGAACUGAGACACGGUCCAGACUCCUACGGGAGGCAGCAGUAGGGAAUCUUCCGCAAUGGGCGAAAGCCUGACGGAGCAACGCCGCGUGAGUGAUGAAGGUCUUCGGAUCGUAAAACUCUGUUAUUAGGGAAGAACAAAUGUGUAAGUAACUAUGCACAUCUUGACGGUACCUAAUCAGAAAGCCACGGCUAACUACGUG
RNAcentral lists this ribosomal RNA (497 nucleotides) under uncultured bacterium. RNAcentral's name for it is "partial 16S ribosomal RNA". It matches the Rfam family "Bacterial small subunit ribosomal RNA", at positions 28 to 507 of the family's 1533-position model. The record is from RNAcentral.